This 388-nucleotide long non-coding RNA is filed under the name Nicotiana benthamiana. RNAcentral describes it as "long non-coding RNA (NBEN_LNC024152)". The record is from RNAcentral. Lineage: Eukaryota; Viridiplantae; Streptophyta; Magnoliopsida; Solanales; Solanaceae.
UUUUAUCCAAUAACACGCUCGAUGCGGUAGCAUCGCCUUUUGUAACGAUCAAGGCUGGUAAGUCCAUCGGUCCAUACAGUUGUCCAUGUACCAGUAAAAGAUUUGGCAGCAACCGCGACCCCUGCUUCUUCAGGUGGAAGUCCAGGUUGAGUAGUUACUCGGAAUGAUGCAAAUAUAUCAUUAUACUUGGUUUGGUACUCAGGAGUAUAAUAAGUCAAUUUUCACUCUUUAACACCAGCUUUGAAUCCAACACUUGCUUUAGUCUCUGUUUGUGGUGAAAUAAAUUCCUCCCUACAACUCAUGAAUUAAGAAUUGUCACAACAACAAGGCCUUCUCGACACGAAUUCCGUAUUAAUGAAACUUUUCACAAGAAUGUUUCACAAAAUUU